RNAcentral lists this ribosomal RNA (2923 nucleotides) under Klebsiella pneumoniae. RNAcentral's name for it is "bacterial LSU rRNA". It matches the Rfam family "Bacterial large subunit ribosomal RNA". Lineage: Bacteria; Pseudomonadati; Pseudomonadota; Gammaproteobacteria; Enterobacterales; Enterobacteriaceae. The record is from RNAcentral. RNAcentral also lists the same sequence under 1 other name.
GGGUUGUGAGGUUAAGCGACUAAGCGUACACGGUGGAUGCCCUGGCAGUCAGAGGCGAUGAAGGACGUGCUAAUCUGCGAAAAGCGUCGGUAAGGUGAUAUGAACCGUUACAGCCGGCGAUGUCCGAAUGGGGAAACCCAGUGCAAUUCGUUGCACUAUCGUUAACUGAAUACAUAGGUUAACGAGGCGAACCGGGGGAACUGAAACAUCUAAGUACCCCGAGGAAAAGAAAUCAACCGAGAUUCCCCCAGUAGCGGCGAGCGAACGGGGAGCAGCCCAGAGUCUGAAUCAGCUUGUGUGUUAGUGGAACGGUCUGGAAAGUCCGACGGUACAGGGUGAUAGUCCCGUACACCAAAAUGCACAGGCUGUGAACUCGAAGAGUAGGGCGGGACACGUGGUAUCCUGUCUGAAUAUGGGGGGACCAUCCUCCAAGGCUAAAUACUCCUGACUGACCGAUAGUGAACCAGUACCGUGAGGGAAAGGCGAAAAGAACCCCGGCGAGGGGAGUGAAAAAGAACCUGAAACCGUGUACGUACAAGCAGUGGGAGCACCUUCGGGUGUGACUGCGUACCUUUUGUAUAAUGGGUCAGCGACUUAUAUUCUGUAGCAAGGUUAACCGUAUAGGGGAGCCGCAGGGAAACCGAGUCUUAACUGGGCGUUAAGUUGCAGGGUAUAGACCCGAAACCCGGUGAUCUAGCCAUGGGCAGGUUGAAGGUUGGGUAACACUAACUGGAGGACCGAACCGACUAAUGUUGAAAAAUUAGCGGAUGACUUGUGGCUGGGGGUGAAAGGCCAAUCAAACCGGGAGAUAGCUGGUUCUCCCCGAAAGCUAUUUAGGUAGCGCCUCGUGAACUCAUCUUCGGGGGUAGAGCACUGUUUCGGCUAGGGGGUCAUCCCGACUUACCAACCCGAUGCAAACUACGAAUACCGAAGAAUGUUAUCACGGGAGACACACGGCGGGUGCUAACGUCCGUCGUGAAGAGGGAAACAACCCAGACCGCCAGCUAAGGUCCCAAAGUCAUGGUUAAGUGGGAAACGAUGUGGGAAGGCACAGACAGCCAGGAUGUUGGCUUAGAAGCAGCCAUCAUUUAAAGAAAGCGUAAUAGCUCACUGGUCGAGUCGGCCUGCGCGGAAGAUGUAACGGGGCUAAACCAUGCACCGAAGCUGCGGCAGCGACACUAUGUGUUGUUGGGUAGGGGAGCGUUCUGUAAGCCUGCGAAGGUGUGCUGUGAGGCAUGCUGGAGGUAUCAGAAGUGCGAAUGCUGACAUAAGUAACGAUAAAGCGGGUGAAAAGCCCGCUCGCCGGAAGACCAAGGGUUCCUGUCCAACGUUAAUCGGGGCAGGGUGAGUCGACCCCUAAGGCGAGGCCGAAAGGCGUAGUCGAUGGGAAACAGGUUAAUAUUCCUGUACUUGGUGUUACUGCGAAGGGGGGACGGAGAAGGCUAUGUUAGCCGGGCGACGGUUGUCCCGGUUUAAGCAUGUAGGCUGGUUGUCCAGGCAAAUCCGGAUAAUCAAGGCUGAGGUGUGAUGACGAGGCACUACGGUGCUGAAGUAACAAAUGCCCUGCUUCCAGGAAAAGCCUCUAAGCAUCAGGUAACAUUAAAUCGUACCCCAAACCGACACAGGUGGUCAGGUAGAGAAUACCAAGGCGCUUGAGAGAACUCGGGUGAAGGAACUAGGCAAAAUGGUGCCGUAACUUCGGGAGAAGGCACGCUGGUGUGUAGGUGAAGUCCCUGCGGAUGGAGCUGAGACCAGUCGAAGAUACCAGCUGGCUGCAACUGUUUAUUAAAAACACAGCACUGUGCAAACACGAAAGUGGACGUAUACGGUGUGACGCCUGCCCGGUGCCGGAAGGUUAAUUGAUGGGGUUAUCCGUAAGGAGAAGCUCUUGAUCGAAGCCCCGGUAAACGGCGGCCGUAACUAUAACGGUCCUAAGGUAGCGAAAUUCCUUGUCGGGUAAGUUCCGACCUGCACGAAUGGCGUAAUGAUGGCCAGGCUGUCUCCACCCGAGACUCAGUGAAAUUGAACUCGCUGUGAAGAUGCAGUGUACCCGCGGCAAGACGGAAAGACCCCGUGAACCUUUACUAUAGCUUGACACUGAACAUUGAGCCUUGAUGUGUAGGAUAGGUGGGAGGCUUUGAAGCGUGGACGCCAGUCUGCGUGGAGCCAACCUUGAAAUACCACCCUUUAAUGUUUGAUGUUCUAACGUUGGCCCCUUACCGGGGUUGCGGACAGUGUCUGGUGGGUAGUUUGACUGGGGCGGUCUCCUCCCAAAGCGUAACGGAGGAGCACGAAGGUUAGCUAAUCCUGGUCGGACAUCAGGAGGUUAGUGCAAUGGCAUAAGCUAGCUUGACUGCGAGCGUGACGGCGCGAGCAGGUGCGAAAGCAGGUCAUAGUGAUCCGGUGGUUCUGAAUGGAAGGGCCAUCGCUCAACGGAUAAAAGGUACUCCGGGGAUAACAGGCUGAUACCGCCCAAGAGUUCAUAUCGACGGCGGUGUUUGGCACCUCGAUGUCGGCUCAUCACAUCCUGGGGCUGAAGUAGGUCCCAAGGGUAUGGCUGUUCGCCAUUUAAAGUGGUACGCGAGCUGGGUUUAGAACGUCGUGAGACAGUUCGGUCCCUAUCUGCCGUGGGCGCUGGAGAAUUGAGGGGGGCUGCUCCUAGUACGAGAGGACCGGAGUGGACGCAUCACUGGUGUUCGGGUUGUCAUGCCAAUGGCACUGCCCGGUAGCUAAAUGCGGAAGAGAUAAGUGCUGAAAGCAUCUAAGCACGAAACUUGCCCCGAGAUGAGUUCUCCCUGAGACUUUAAGUCUCCUGAAGGAACGUUGAAGACGACGACGUUGAUAGGCCGGGUGUGUAAGCGCAGCGAUGCGUUGAGCUAACCGGUACUAAUGAACCGUGAGGCUUAACCUUACAACGCCGAAG